RNAcentral lists this transfer RNA (74 nucleotides) under Candidatus Portnoybacteria bacterium CG_4_10_14_0_2_um_filter_44_20. RNAcentral describes it as "tRNA-Met". It matches the Rfam family "tRNA". From Rfam's summary of the family: Transfer RNA (tRNA) molecules are approximately 80 nucleotides in length. Lineage: Bacteria; Candidatus Portnoyibacteriota. The record is from RNAcentral. RNAcentral also lists the same sequence under 1 other name.
GGCGGCGUAGCUCAGUUGGUUAGAGCGUGGGACUCAUAAGCCCAAGGUCAGUGGUUCGAAUCCACUCGCCGCUA